This is an RNA transcript of Columba livia (rock pigeon), 11245 nucleotides long. It is a transcript of the gene named exocyst complex component 3-like protein, with no coding region annotated. The transcript has 13 exons. NCBI's taxonomy places the organism in Eukaryota, Metazoa, Chordata, Aves, Columbiformes, Columbidae. The record is from RefSeq and is a predicted model, not a curated record.
UAUCAUAUCCAGAAUAUAGAAUAUAGAAUAUAGAAUAUAGAAUAUAGAAUAUAGAAUAUAGAAUAUAGAAUAUAGAAUAUAGAAUAUAGAAUAUAAAUAUAACAGUGUAUAUAGUUGCUGGAAAAUUGCACAAUCCAGGAGGCUGAGGUCACUGUUAUCUCCUCUGAAUGGUGCUGCUAAAACAUGAAAACCAACGCCCAUUCUCUGGGGCUUUUCCUCCCUGUUGGCUAACACUGGGCUGGCUGGGAGGUGGGAAAAAAUUUGGCUCCAAAGCCAGGCCUGAUCUCCUUGCCAAAGAAGAACUCAGGUGCAGCUGGGGCACAUGGGGAGGAUGGAAAGUGAUUUGUGCUUCAUAGAAGCUAUUAAUAAUCAACUCCCUUAGACUGAUAGGAUUGUCAUAGUGAUAACUGACUGCCUGCAGGGAUGUUUUAGUCAUUUAGAAAACGCUGAAAAUCCCGCUGGCUUUCCCCCAGUGCGUGUGGUUAGACUGUGUAUGAGGUUUUUGACAUUGUUUUGCUAGAAGAGGAAGAAGUUACCUAAGAGGGCAGGCAGCCUAUAAAAAUGUUUUCACUCAGCACGGGCACGGACCAGGCUGGACUUCUUAGAAGGCAGCUGAAGCCUGUAGCCGUAUGGAAAAAAGAGAAAUCUGGGGAAAAAUAUCUUGUCUGGGAGACAACCACUAGGAGCACCUUGCAUAGAAGUGUUUCUUACCUUUUCUUUUUGUUUUUCCAAUAGUAUUCUCAAUUGGACAGGAAGCAUCUGAAUCUGCUGGAAUCAUGAGGAAGAUAAAGUAUUCCUGGGGAGCCUUAGUGGGAAGAGGCAGCAAGUGGGAGAAGAUGUCUGGGGAAAAUGCAAGGAUGGUGCCCAGGGACACGCACGAGGAGAGGAAGAAGCAGGAAGCGAAGAGGAGAGGGAAACUGAAAACUGUGGCAGGCAAAAUGCUAAAGGCCGUGGCUGGUGGGAAAGAGGCAGCAGAGGAGAAGGCUGGUGGUGAGGAUGUGGCAGGGAAGUUGCUGAAGACGGGAACCAGUAGGAAGGACGAGGAGGGACAGAUGCCUGCAGAGGAAACCAUCUGUGGAUUCAUUGAGCAAGGAAAAUUUUUUGAAGCUUGUGAUCAUAUUUAUGAUCUGGAACAUUCUGGAAAUGAUGGUGUGGGCAAGUCUGAAUCUCUUUAUACACUACUGGCUGAACAAAUGUGGACUGUGGUGGGAGAAGCUCUCAGUGGAAGUGGUGGGAUGUUCCUGGAGCCAUUGCAGUCAGUGGGGGAAUCUCUGAGGUGGGAGAAGCAGAAGGAAGCAGAGUGGCUUGGCAGCAGCCAGGAGACAGACUCUGUUUCCACUUGGAGUCCAAACUUCUGGAGGAAAGAUCUGGAGGAGAAACUAAUACAGUACAUGACAGCCCAGAUUCCUCCCUUUGGUUCCUCUAGUAACACAGACGAGACUGCACUAAAACAGCACCUGAAUCAUCUGGAAACGGCAUUUCUACCCAGCCUGGAGCACAGAAGUGGUGUCUUCAAGGAAGCAGGACUGUUCGCCACCUAUGCCCGCUGCUGUCAUGCCUCUUUGUCUUCCCACCUUUCUGCACUUACUGGCAGCAACCAUUUCAGCUUCAGACAAUGUCUUUUAGUUUAUGAAUGGGGCCUUAAAAUGUACAGAAGCAGCAGCGAGACAUGUCUGGGAUCCAGGCAGAGCCCCCAGCACAGCCCUUCCCUUGGUGUGCAGCAUGUCAUGUGGAUUGUGUUGAAGACUGAGGAAAAGUUACUUGCAGUCACUCGGAAGGCAGUAGGAAAAGCUCUGAAAGAAGCCUUUGAUAUUGGGAAACCCCCUUGUGCAGAUGCUGCAGUCAUUCAGAUACUAGUGGAGAAGACGGAGGCUGCUGGGCAUGUCAGUGAGAACCUGAGCGAGAAGGUGGAAGCUGUGUGCCUGGAGGAGUGCCUGAGCUUCCUGGAGAGCUAUGAAAAUGAAGUAAGAAGCUUUAUCCAGCUUGAUUGCUACCCUGGGAUCUGCAGCAGCUUACGAAUCCUGGAGAACUGCUGUAUUCUCAGGACUGUCUGGCGUAAGCUAACAUAUAUUUACAGUGUCAGCACUGGCCAGGAUAUUAAGGUAAAUGGAUUUCUAGACAGGAUGGAAGAUGAGAUUACAGAGCAUUUUCUGCAGACAGUCACUUCUACAGUAAAGGGAACACUGAAGGAGCACUUCAAAAAGUGUGACAGUGGAUUUGACCACAUCCUUGAAUCCUUAAAGCAAAGCUUUCUGGCAUUUGGGAAGAAAAAAACAGACACGUAUGAGGCUCUCAUCAAGGCUGUCAACACCAUCAUUAUUACAGAAUACAUUCAGGCCCUCCUGACCACUUCCAGGAAAUCAUCCUCUGUGCAGAGGAGGGGGAUUAUCAGCAAAAUAGAAGAAGAUCACAGCAUGCUGCAAACCAUCUUUAAAGAAUGCUUAGGUCCUACAGCUGGUUCCCUUAAGGAUCCUAUAAAAGCCAUUUUAGAACUUAUUCAAACUUCUGAUGCUGAGGGAAUGAAAAUAGCCCUUCUGCCCAUCCUCAAAGAAUUUCCUGAUCUAAGGAAGGAACAUCUGAGUGCAGUGCUGGACAUCAAAGACUCUCUCAGCCGAGAAGACAGGGCUUCUCUCUUGAAGGUGUUUCACGAUAACUGCAGGGAAUCAGAAACAGAAGCAAACUUGCUUUUUGCAGAUAUAGAAGUAAAACCCAGAAAAUAUGGACUCUGUGGCUGUCUCUGCUGUUAGCAAAGCCCUGCUGUGAGAAACAAGUCUCACUCCCAUAUGGCAGCAUCUGCAAUCACAGCUCCUUGAAAGCUUCAGCAGCUGGAUGAACGGAGAAGCCUGAAAGCUAUCGAAGACACAAUCCCUUUUGCAGGAAAAACAUGUGGCCCAAAUCCUAAUCUUCUAUGCAAAGUCCAGGCAGAAGAUGAAAGGGAUAACUGCAAGAUCAGAUCCUGUCCCCUAUCACUGGGCACCACGCUUGCAGUCCCUGAAGCUCUUGUGAGCAUCCUCUGCAUUUCAUCAUCUAAAUCAUUAAUGAGCCUGGCUCAGACCAGACUCCUGUGGACUCACAACCAACAGCCACUUUUGCUCCGAUCAUGAAUCUCCAUCCAGUUUUGUGUCUGCCACCCAGGAGCUUUGCAAGAGCAGACCCUCAGCCCAAGGUCUGCAUGUCCAGACAGAUGUGUGAUGCUCCCCAGACCUGCACCAGUCAGCAGUGACACCCUUCUGCUCUGCUGCCUCAUCCCUGCAGCCACUGUUUGGGGCAGCACUUGGCACUGGCAGGGACCAUGGUCCCUUCCUCACUUAUUAACUCGAAAGGUACUUGGUGCUAAGACCCUUUACUAAAGUCAAGGUUCCCAACAUCUGCAGCUGCUCAGAGAGGAGAAACUCCUGCCAUGGAAAGAAAGCAAAGAGAUUAUGCAGAACAAAUUUGAUUUAAAAAAGUCUUGGUGUAUUGCCUUGGUGUGGAUCUCAUGCUUAAAACUCUUAAAUUCUACCAAUACUUUUCCAAGAAAUAACCUCAGGGCUUAUUCCUCCCCCCUUUUUAAGAUCAGCACUGCUUUCCCUUGCCCAGGGAGCCACCUCCCUCUUGGCCAUCAUGGUGAAUGGCUGUGAGAUGGCUUUGACCAACUUUCCAAACACACUGUGUUGGGACAAGGUAUAGUGGAUGAAAUCCAUCUCUGGAAGCCUUCAGUUUAUUUAGGCUGCAGCUGGAUGCACAGUUUGUUAGCGUUAUCUUAUUUCAUUUAUUUUUUGGCAGCAUCGUUGGCGUAAGCAGCCCCCACUGCAUGUUUACCCCCUGACUGCUAGUGUAGCUGUUGGGGGCAGUGGAAGGAACAACAGUGAGUGGGGUGACAGAGGCUGCUUAAACCAAGACUGCUGCCCCUCCAAUCACUUAGAGUUAUGUUCCCUUGGUGCUUCUCAUUCUUCUGUACCAGCAUCUUUGCUUCGGCUUUCCAGUUGCUCCCCAGAUGCUUCAGCCACAGUUUCAUAUGAAUCUCCUGGAAUUUGAAUAACUUGUUUUCUUUCUGUAAUUGCUUCUUAAACUUCAGGGGAUUAAGGAAUUUAUUAUUCAGCUGAAUUCCCAUCACGCUGCACAUCCUCCUUCUGCACUGAGAGAUUUCUUUGUGCCUUAAAUAUGAUUUCCUGAGGAGCUGUCUGCUCCUCUAAAUUCCAAUUUCCCUUCUCCCACCCCAUGAAGAAGGAGGUCAGGAAAGUGAUCCUGACCGCUGCAUACCCAGUGCAGGGGUGAGGAGCACUUCCCAAGGCACCUGUGGAGGUUUGGGCUCAUAAGAGACAUCCCUGGGGUCAAAGCAGGGCAGCCCAUGGGUACAGCUAGGUUGGGCCUCUCCAGAAGGGUGAGCCAGCAGAGCGGGGAGCCCUGGAAGAAGAAGGUCUCUCCAAAACAGCAGACCGGGUGGUGUAAGUGGUCUGAGAAGGAGCAUAGCCCUGAGGCUGAAGCUGCCUCAAACAAUGUGGUGCCUGUGGUGUUGCCAGCCUCUGGGGAGGCACAGGCCUGAUUUGGGAAUGGGAAGUACCCUGAAUGGGUGAGCUCCAGAUAAAUCACUUCUGCAGCUGAGCUUUGGGCUGAAAAGGCUGCAGGAUGGCCAGGGAGACCUUGGUACAUGGCCCUGGAAGAUCUGUCAGGCAGAAGCACUGUGCCUCAGUUUCCAUUUUAAAGCUGUGGCACUGCUGCUACCUGUCCGGCCACAUCUUGUCACGAGUGUCCCAGCUAUUGGAAGGUGCGGGGGGUUUGUCUGUCCCGUCUUGCUGCAAGGUCCUGCAGACAAACCCAAGCUGGUGUCUGGCUGUGUGUGUCCUGGUCUUCAGUGGAGGCUGAGCUGCUAAACCCACUGGGGCUCAAAUGUGUGUUUAGGGCUUUCCCUCUCCUAUCCCUGCAGAAUACUGCGGGUGUAUUUAAGGGCUGACACGGCUGGAAGGUUGCGGGAAAAGCAGUGAUUCUGGGAAAUCACGUGUCCCCGAGCCUUUGGAAACAGUGAAGGCUGCCAAGCAUGAUGCAGGCUGGUAUUUCUGCAUGCUUUAAGGGCUGUGUCAGAGCAAGGCUGUAGCUACCAAUGAAGGCAGAGCAUGGCUUGAGACAUUUAGUUGGAAAAGCCGUACUCCUCCCACAUAAGCAGCUCCUCCAUCCAUGGGGAAAUGACAGAGUGCUGCCCUGAAGGAACAGCACUCUGGUUUCACUUAGAUACCAUCUGAUUUUCAUUUUCAUAAAUGUAGCUAUGUUUAUGUCGGCCUCAAAUGUUUUGCACAGUGCUGGACUCCUACAGUUUUAGCAUUGCUGAAAUUCCCCAUUCGCCUCAGAUAGAAUGCAGCUGGAUACCUCCCUUUUGGCCAUAAGUGCCCUCACUGGGGACAAGCUAUUCUGCAGGCCAGGUUGCCCUGGGGCUGCCCGCACAGGCAGGGCAGCACCACUGCACCACCGAAACGCUGACAUUAGGCACCAACAGCAAAGACCAUCCUUGACACUGGGCUGACACCUUCAAGAUCUCCCCAGGGCUGUGCUGGGAGCCAGUGUCAGGGGACUUGGAGACAGGGGCAGCAGCCCGUCCUCUGGCAGCCACUAAUUCUGAAAAACCACAGUUGUUGGCCAGAAGGAUCUCCACUGAAGUUCUCCAUGUUUGACAACACAUGCAAAAGAGAGUUGCCCCAGUAAUGGGCAUGCUAUCAGUGAGAAGGCCCCACUGAGAGUCUAGCUCAUGUGGAAAAUGAACAGAGGCUGCACAAGCUGGGCUUGCUUAACCUGGCAAAGAGGAAGAUAAAGGACAACUUGACAGUGAACUGCAUGAAGGGUGGUUACAAUGGGGACAGAGUCAAACUCCCCUCUAGCAGCAGGUGCUACACCAAGGGGAGAUGGACACAGAUUGUACUUUGUAAAGUUCAGGUUCAACAUCAGGGAAAAACUUGUUUCCUAGGAGGUGAUGCAGCCCAGAGAGAGACUGAACUCUUCACUUGGAGGUUUUUCAAGACUUUGCUAGUCCACACCAUUGGCUGCCAAGAGCUAGUAUUGGAAAUGGUCUUACUUUGAAUGAGGAGGUGGACUGGAGGCCCCCAGCACCCCCUUCCAGCAGUGUUCUCAUCCUGUGAGCCCUAUGGCCGGGCCAAGCUUACUUACAGCUUGUCUGAGUGCUUAUGCGUAAUGGAUCAUCACUUCUCACCCACCUGAAAAGAAAUAGGAAGUGAAGGCUCUGCGGACUUUGUCUGAAAAGUUGUUUUUACAAGCAUGACAUAACAGGGAGGUUGAUGGAGCAGAGAGCCAAGAUGAAGAACACUCUUAUCCCUCUGCAAUUUUUAAACAUUGACCUAUUGUACUACGAGAAAGAGCAAGCAAAGAGAGGGAGAACAUGAUUAAGAGUAGACUAGAGAGGUUUGCAUCUACUCAAACUCAGGAGUCUGUUUUCUUCACCACACACCACACUGGGAUGGGGCCAGAUGGUACAGCCAAAGUCCCUGUCAGGUAAGAAUAGAGUGGGAGGACAGGAAUUUCCUGGUGUCACUGAACGGUCCUUCCCAGUAUGAAGCUUGUUGACACUGAGGACCUACAUUUUUGUAUUGCUUCCUGGGAAGUGAGGUCUCCCAAGAGCCUGUGGAAGGGUGGCAUUUCCCACAAGGCUCUGCUUUCUCAAGGCAUCGAACCAAGAAGUGAUGCUUGUUUGGCAUGUUUGUUCUUGUUGACAUGACUGGAGCAUAAACACACGUCCUAGCUGCAGAGAGGGAUGGGAGGUGGGGCUCUAAGAUCCCGUGAAACCAAAACUCCACAGUGAAAAAUUUUGGGAGAUUUUGGUCAACUAAAGUUGACUUGAAUUUGUAAGUGCACUUCCUUUCUUGUAAAGACAGUUUCUAUAUGUAACACAGAAUCAGCCCUUUUGUUUGUUUGUUUUUCUACUGGGUAACAAGAAAAAAGUGCACAAAAGAGAUUUUGGGGAGGAACGAUGAGGAGACUGAUUUACCAGUCUGACUUCUCAGACUGCUUUUGAGCUUGAACAUGAGUGAGCUGAGGUUUGGCAGAGUCUCAGGGUGACCUUUUGUAUAAGCACUCAAUGCUUCUCCUGAAUCUCUGGGCACUACAUCAAAAUUAGUGAAAUAAACACAAAAUCCAGAUAGUAUGAAGCCAAGUGACGUAAUCCACAAGCCUCAGGCAACUGGCGAGUCUGGGAGUGGGUGCAGGACAGUUGCAUGGGUCAAGCCAAGCAUCCCUCCAGGGCAGUGUCCACUCCCUGACAGUGGCCAGAGUAGAUGCCCAGGGACAGCUGAAGGGAUGGGAUAAGCAUGAUCUAUCCCUAUAUGCUCUCCCAGACACCAGCAAUCUGUGGCUUAAACAUUUUCUAAGCCAGAGUGGUGUCUGUAUUUAAGAGCCUUCGAUGUUAUUCUAUUCCUCAUGCCCUGUCUCCAUCCCUGUCUGUCUGCUUUCUUGCAUACAGCUUAGCUUUUAGCAGCCACAGCAUCCUGCAGCAGGACCUUUUGCAGCCUAAUUAUACACUGAGUGAAAAAAGCUCCAGUUUUCUGGCUUUGGGUCUUGUAUCUGCUACCUUCAUCUGAUACCCCUUGCAUAGGAAGAGAUGGUUUUCCUCUUUCCACCUUCUUUAGGCCUCCAUUAUUUUGAAGAUCUCCAUCCUUAGUUGUCCCAUUUCCAGCCUGGAGGGUCCUGUCCUGCUCACCCAGAAGCUCUGCCAUAACUAACCCCACACCUCUGCUCUGGAUGUUCUGCACUUCUGGCACAUCUUUGAGAUGAAGGGACCCAAACUGUGCACAAGUCCUUGAGCUGAGGCUGCCAUGAGUUUGUGUUAUGGCAUAAUUUCUUGUUCCUGAUCUGUUCACUUUUUCUACCCUUAGUAACUCCUAGCAUUCAGUUUGAGAUUUCUGCUCACUUUCUUGCAUUAGGUAACAUUUGUGCAGUACUGUCUGCCCAGGGUCCCAUUUGGCUCCCCUGUUUUCCAUGUAAAACAAUAAUUUUGCAUCCCUUUGCAUAGAUCUCCUCUACCAUUUGAACACCUGCUUGUUCAGCCUCAUAAGGUCACUUUUACUGCUAUAAGUGACUUGAUACAAUUUGCAAACAAGAGAGUCACCUGCCUAUCCACCCCUGCCCAAUUUCCUGCAGGGAGCCCAGCACAACCCUACAUGGAAGGACACUGCUCCAAUAUGAAAAUUGUUCCUUAUUUCCCAUCUCUGCUCUGUUACUCGUCCCUGUGAGGACCUUCUAGCUCAUCCUAUUGAUUCCCAUUUUCUCUCAGAGCCUCUUGCAACAGCUUCUCAAAUGCCUUUUGGAAAGCCGAAUAGGUUACAGCAACUACAUCUCCUCUCUGCUCCCCUGCUCACCCCUCCAAGAACACCAGUGGGUUUGUGGGGUACCAUUUCUCCUUGGCGAGCAGGGCUGGCUCUUCCCCAGCGCAUCACCACGAGAAAGGUGACAAAGGGUCCUGCCAGGUGCUGGUGCCAUCUGUUGUGAGGGGGCCAGGUUCUUUGGGUGUCAUCCAGGUUAUUUGGAAACAUCCAAGGGCUGUUCCAGCUGCAGGGUCCAUGCCUGCUGCCUCACAGACCCUGUGCAGAAGGAUCUUGCCCCUGCCUUGGUGAGGAGCCCUUCCUGGGCAUGGGGCCACGAUGCAAGGUGCUUUGUGCUUCUCCGAGGCAUACCCAGCGGUUUUGCAGAGCAUCCUUCCCAUGUGAAUCUGUUGCAAGCAGACAGGUCUGCCAGUUUUUCUAAGGCUUUUACAUGUGUCUGUCCAAGCGUGUCACAUCCUUCCUUUCUUCAUCCCCAUGUUAUAUUUGAGCUUUGUAUCUCGGGGUGCAGGUGUCCCUCAUGAAGAUCCACAUCUGAGGGAGAUGUUGUGGUAGGCAGGAAGGGUGAUCAUGGAAGAGGUACAGUGGUGGCAGCUGUUGUGGAGGCUGUGAACAUUUGAACUCUCUGCCUAGUUAAGGAAAGAAGGGCCCCAGAAUUAGUUCAAGCCAGAAGAUACAGGAGCUUUGAUCGUCAUCAGAAGCUGCAUCCCGCUAGAUAAGUCAAAUAACAGAACGGUGCAUCUAAAGAAGGUGAGAAAUAGCAGAACGUGAGAACUUAUUAAUGUUUGACUGUUGCCAAAGGCUUAUUUUUCUUACCAGCUGCAGAUGCAAAAUAGCAACUAAUGGAGAGCAGCUGGAUUGAUGCCUGCAGAGAUAAGAAAUGGCCUGCCUGAUGAAUAUGAGGGGCGCCAAUGAAGAACGGGGAGAGCCUAGAUUCUAAUUUUACAAUUGACUCAAAUUGUUGCACGAGGGGUGGUAAGCUUAGAUUACAGGGUUAUAAUUUCCCAGGGCUUUCUUUACUCAGAGUGCCUCUUCCAGAGGCACCCAGCUCAAGCAGCUGUCUAUGCUGUACCUUACAAAUAAAUUAUUUAUUUAAGAGGAAUUUCUGGAAUUCAUGCCUGAGACACUGCUUCAGGAUACCUAGGGUGAAGCUUCCUUAACUCUACUAAGCAAAAAAUUCAAAUGCUUUUCUGGGGUUACUUAAUGGUAAAAACAGUUGUUCUAGUUGCGAUGGGGAAAUGACCCACUUGUGAGUGGGAGGAAGUUCACACAUUGGGGAUGCUGUUCAUGUGAGAGUCAUCCUCUCUCCAUGUGCCCUAUGUGGGGCUGACCUCUGAUUGCAGCUGGUUUACAGCAGUGCAAAGCCCAUGGGUUCAAGGGAGGCCCUCUGAAGCAAAAUGCAGUCAGCUUUGGAUAUAGGAAAGUGAUUUAAAAUGUCAGAUUUCUGGGAAACCCCGGGAGCAAAAUUAUCCUAAAGCUGCAGACUUUCAUCAGGUAGGUCCCAGGGGGCUGGGCAGGUGUGGAGGUGGGCGCCUGCCUGGGACAUGGGCUGCAGUUUGGGUUAUUCCCUUCAUGUGUUGCCCAGCCUGACUUUGCUGAUGUGUUUUCCUUGGCCAAGGACACAGUGACUUUUGUCUAUCCCUUCCUUUCUGCAUGUGCCAGUCUGCAAAUAAUAACUUACAAAUGCAGUAAAACCUGUAAGGUCAUGGUACCCAUUCUUCAGCCAAACUAACCCCUUGCUGGAAUACACCAAAGUGCUCCAGGAAGAAAACUCUGUCCCAAAACAUACUAGCUGUCUGGAACUAACCUCUUGAGAAAAAGACGGUGUUUCAAGGCCUAACAGCUUUCUGUACCCUUUCCAUAUCCUUUGCCAAUGCAGAUAGCUGGAGUGUGUUUCGUGGCCCAUGUGGCCAGUUAACCUGUGUUGACCGCAUUGCAGGUCCAGCUUGUGUCCAGCAGCAGGAGGGUAGCGCAGCCAUCCUAGCUCAAUGUGAUCAGACACUGUCAGGGAAAACAGAAAACUUUCUAUUAAAUCAUGUGAUAUUAGUUCACUGGCUUUUCUUGAGGUCAAAGUCUUUCAGAUAAAGAAGUGACAAAAGUUAAAUGGGUCAGGGCAACAAACAGGGAAACUCAGAAUUAUCCAUCAGGCAGCCAGUGACAGUGACACAAAGAAGGUACAGGGAAGUAAGCUGCGGUGGCAGAACUGUGGACUAAUUGUGAUAAGAAGAUAUUGCAAGACCUUUACACACUCUCUGAUUCUUGUGUCCAUUGUGUUCCUGGAUAUGACUGUUUUUAAGGGUGAAGACUGGCUCUCUGGGAGGCCUCAGGUGUGAAGCAAAGGGGUGUAGGGCAGCAUGUGCAGAAGGAAUAUAUUAUAUCUAGGGCCUUCUGUGAGGGUGGUGGGGUGUAGUUAACCAUGCUGGAGCAACUCUUUCAGGUUGACUCUCCAUUUCACACGCAGACCCCACCAUGCGUCUGGUCACAGAUGAUGAUUUAGAUGCUGAGAGGCCAGGAGAUUAAUAGGAACAGUGGAAAUACACGGUAAUGGCAUUGUCUGAUGGAAGUCCUGGAAUUGCUAUGGCCCAAACCAACGGAAACCAUCCAUGUAGUGUGUGAUUAAACUGGUUUAUAUUAUUUGUGAGUUGUCUAUUCUUCAUGCACACUGCUAUCCUUGCCACCGAAGUUUUCCAUCAGUUAAAGAAAAAAGCAAACUGUCACUGCAAACAAAAGCCAGCCACUAGUGGUGGCCAGGGAAGGAAAGUGAGACCCAGGCUGGCCCCCAGCGAAGCUCUCUGCCACAUCCAGCCCCCAACAGCAUGCAACACAGGGACUUCCCAAGCCACAGUUUGCAUCUUCUCACUGGCACCCUUUGCAUCUCAGUGCUGUGGGUAUUGCAUAAUAGAUGUCAGAAGGGACGAUGGUGGGAGACUCUCCUCCAUUUUCAUACU